RNAcentral lists this ribosomal RNA (440 nucleotides) under uncultured bacterium. RNAcentral's name for it is "partial 16S ribosomal RNA". It matches the Rfam family "Bacterial small subunit ribosomal RNA", at positions 338 to 795 of the family's 1533-position model. The record is from RNAcentral.
CCUACGGGUGGCAGCAGUAGGGAAUAUUGCUCAAUGGGGGAAACCCUGAAGCAGCAACGCCGCGUGGAGGAUGAAGGUUUUCGGAUUGUAAACUUCUCUUGUUAGGGAAGAUAAUGACGGUAUCUAACGAAUAAGCACCGGCUAACUCCGUGCCAGCAGCCGCGGUAAUACGGAGGGGGCAAGCGUUACCCGGAAUCACUGGGCGUAAAGGGCGCGUAGGCGGGAUAGUAAGUCAGAUGUGAAAGCCUAUGGCUUAACCAUAGAACUGCAUUUGAAACUGGUAUUCUAGAGUAUGGGAGAGGUAGGUGGAAUUCUUGGUGUAGGGGUAAAAUCCGUAGAGAUCAAGAGGAAUACUCAUUGCGAAGGCGACCUGCUAGAAUAUAACUGACGCUGAUGCGCGAAAGCGUGGGGAGCAAACAGGAUUAGAUACCCUUGUAGUC